AAAAAGUGUAUUUGGGCUGUAGUUCAUGUUAUGGACUUAUUUACAUUAACCUGACUUAAUUCUUUUACUUUAGUUAUGACAACUUGCUUUCAUGAGUUCAAUUAACUUAACAGUCACGCAUUUUAUCUCAAACGAACUUUUUAAUUUGAGUCGAAGUGAAACAAUUAAGUUUAAUGCAGCUUUACGUCUGACGUCAUUACGUAAGCUCCGCCCGGGACAGAUCCUGCAUCUCUGGUACCGACCGCCAUUUCUUCUGAGCAUUGACUGUCGACGAGAUUCAGAUAAAACAGUAAGUAUGCUGCCCCACCAUAACCAAACAUUAAAUAAACGGUGUAAAAAUAUUUAAAACUUUUUCUACCUUAAAUUUGAAACAUUGAACUGUGUUUAACGUCGAAGUGUCAUCAGUUAUUUGCUCUUCACACAUUUGCUAAUUGUAAUUAGCCGCGCUGUUCGGCGGUUCAAAUCUCAACAUGUUUUAACAUAACUACUCUGAGUUAGACUGAAUGUUUAUUUUUUAUGUGUACUUUUACGCUAAAAAACCUAACUUGAAAUUACAGAGGUGGGGGUGUUCUGUGCAAAACUAAUUUAAUGUGAUGCAACUCCACUGUGCUAAUCACUGUUAGCUGCAGCCGGUGAAGCCAUUUUUUCCAGUUUUCUCAUGCUGCUUACUGGCGACAUAAUAUAAAACGCAUAAUAUCCUGACAGCGCUAAGAAUCCAUCAGGUGUCAUUUCUCUUAAAAAAGCAAAUUGUGUCUGUAGGAACAUUGCGCAGUGUUCUAGCUAGCCGUUGAUCCCCAGGCACUGGGCCGGGCUUAGACGCCCUCGGGCUGGGCUGAGGAUUUCACAACUUCACUUUCGGAGCUCUGCAUUUAGUAGCCUGCCCCACAAACUCCGCCCCGGCUAGAUCGCUUCUUGCCCUGUAUUAUUUCUCUGCAAUUUGCAAUCUACCACAGCGCACGGACAGUUCACAAUGUGCAAGUUUGAUCUCCCUAUGGUCGUCCGCGCCCUUGAUUUCACCGGCUACAGAAAUCGAAAUGACAACCGGCAUGAACGCCAGGAAAAGAAAGAAGAAAAAUUAAGAUCAAAUGAAAAUUUCAGGCAUUAGCAUUUCUGGCUAGAACACUGUUGUAUUAACUUCUUUUACCCACUUCUCUUUCCAGGCCUAGAACCAAGAAUCAUCAAACCACAUAAGGUUGAAGACAUUGGGAUUCGAAGGGAAUGUGUUCUGAAAGGGCUCAUCACCUUUCUUGGAGAGGAUGCAAAAGACCUUAUUAAGGAAUACUGUGGCAGCAGCGGAGAUGAUGCCCAGAUGGAACUCAAACAACUCACCAUGGCCGUGUUUGUGAUUCGGAAGGAGGGAGAGGGAUUGAAAGAACCCCCAGAAGACAUUGGCAUCGUCAUUGAGGGAGUGGAGGUGUUGCAUGACCUGACUUCAGUUGCCUCAGCAUGUGCCCUGCUUCUGGGUUUGAUAUAUUCCCUUAACUUGGCUUAUCUAAAGGCUCUGCGCUUCACAUUUGAAGUGUUCCAAAAAAUCUUCAUGCAGCUUGAGCAGCACAAGAUGUCUCCCAAAGUUCAAAAUUUGUUUGGAAGACUUCAGACCUCACAGUAAAGACACUGGCAUGUUGUGCAACAGGACAGAAGAUCUUCAGUCUUCUUUGUUUGGACAGAAGAGCGCCAUGUUUUGGAAGCUUAACACCCCAAGGAACUGCACUUUGUGAACUUCUUUUGGGACAUUGUUCAUAUUAAAGCCACAAGUAAUACAGAGUUUACUGGAUAACAAUUGACUGGUAUUUCUGGAGGAUGUUUACUGAUGAGGUUGUGAUGAACAUUAUCAUUUUGGGAGUAGGUCUUUUUUGUUUUUGACAUUUCAUAAAGUUACAUGGUUCAUCUCUUUGGUUUUGUGUGGGGGAAAAAAUACAAGUUAAGGGGGAAAAAUUAAAGUAGGAAAGUAGUAGGCUGCUGCAGUUUGUGGACAUUUUCACAGAAUUUUCUUUUUGCAUUUUUUUAAAAAUUUGAAUCAACAGAUUUGUUCAGUGUUUUUUGAAGGAGGUUGAAUGGAUCUAGAUCAUAAUGUUUACUAUUCUGUUAUUUUCUGGUGUCAGUUAAAUUAACGGACUUGGUUUAAACUAGGCAGCUAUUACACCACAUCUUUGUUUGAAAACUUGCCUAAAUAUUUUUUGGGUAUUGCUCUUAUUUUCAGUGUAAAAAUAGUCACUAGUGUCAUCAUAUUUUAUGUCAAAAACAUGUUCUCAGCAAAUGUUA
Xiphophorus couchianus (Monterrey platyfish) is the source of this 2262-nucleotide long non-coding RNA. RefSeq lists it as uncharacterized. The transcript is spliced from 3 exons. NCBI's taxonomy places the organism in Eukaryota, Metazoa, Chordata, Actinopteri, Cyprinodontiformes, Poeciliidae. The record is from RefSeq and is a predicted model, not a curated record.